Molecule: long non-coding RNA, 8070 nt
Filed under: Malus domestica (apple)
Lineage: Eukaryota; Viridiplantae; Streptophyta; Magnoliopsida; Rosales; Rosaceae
Description: long non-coding RNA (MDOM_LNC019235)
Source: RNAcentral
AGAUCGCUAGUCACGAUUGUGUUUAAGUAAACCCUAGGUUGGAUUAACAUGCGUAUUCCAUAGUUAUGAAUGCCUAGUCGAUGUUUUUGAUUUCCGUUGAACUUAAUGAUCUUUGUUGAAUGUCUCUAUCAUGCGUAUUCCAUAGUUAGGGGCUUUGAUGAGGAAUAAUUUGGUUGUAAUGCGUAUCCCAUUCAAUCCAAUGAAUCUAGGGAAAUCUGAAAGUUAAUUUAAGCGAACCUAAUUAACUUGAAGCAUUGUCAUUCAUUGUUUGUUGAAGUCAUAACUGGGAAUCAAAUUAUAUGCAUAUGUUCAUGUGUGAAUAAGGAACCCUCUAACUAGUUUCUCAUCAUUCUAUUUCAUCACAAUCUGUUUUGCUUUACAUUUGUUUUCAAGGUUAAGUUUUAAAGUUUUAAUUUCGUCCAAAUCAAUCCCCCAUUUAUUUUAAAGUGUUAGAUUAGUUAGAAAUCAAUUUAGUUUGUGUUUUUAAGUGUCUUGAGUCAAGUUUUAGUCCAAUUUCGUCCAAAUUAGUGUUAGGUACUCAAAACUGCCCAGAAAGUGGUUUUGAGGCAGUUUUGAGUCUUUUAGUUGCUGUUUUGAGUUUUUGGUUUGUUUAGGUGUUUUAAACUCUAGUUUUGCAUUAAUUGAGUCUAGUUUAGUGUUCUACAUUAUGUUUUUAUGUUCUUGAGUCAGUUUCACAUUGAUUAGCAUCCCUAGUUAAUCCCCGGUCUAGAACGAUCCCUAUUUGCUCAUAUACUACAAUUGUCAUCCAUAGGGUUUAAUUUGUGUGUCAAGUUAAUUUUCACAUCACACUUUGAGGAGCAUGUCGUGGAGAAUGUACCCGUCCAUGCCGUGGGCCCUGUACAAGCUUAAAUGGAGGUAUCGUUCGGCUGGAAGACAUUAAAGCGAGCGCUUCUUGGGAGGCAACUUAUGUAUUCAAAUAAGGAAGAUUUUUGAAUUGCUCCACAAUCAGUUUUGCGUUUCUACAAACCUUCCCUUGUCUGUAGUUUUAUUUUGCCAUGAUUGUCAUUUUUAUUUGUUGCUUGUUUAAUUGUUUUUGGUGUGGGUUUAUUUUUGAAACACUGACAGUUAUGCAAGGUAUUUUUACAUUCAUAAAAAAAAAAUGAACAUUAAGCAAAUAAAUAGAAGAGGGAGCCUUCACAAAGGCUGCUUAGGAGAAGUCUCAGUAGUCGGCGGAGCCCUAGAAGGAGGAGGCAUCAGAGGUUGAUCAUUUGGAGCUUCAUUACACGUUACAGCCCCAGAAGACGAAGGCAAAUGUUGUUGGAACAACCCCACAAAUCUCUGAUGAUCAAGUAAAAUCUGACCAUCAGAUUCCUGCAUCUGGUCAAUUUUCCUCUUCAUGUUUAUGGCAUAGUUGUGUGCGAGCUUAUGCAACUAUUUAUUCUCAUGCUUGAGCCCUCUAAUCUCCUGUUUGAGACUCAUCACUUCAGCCGCCAAUGAUUCAACUUGACAGGUUCGAGCAAAUAGGCGUUGGGCCAUAUUGGACACAGAACCGGCACACUGCACACUGAGAGCCAGAGAAUCCUUAACAGCUAGCUCAUCAGACCGUUUGGAAAGCAGUCUGUUAUCUUUAGGAGUGACAAGGUUCCGGGCCACCACCGCAGCAGUCAUGUCAUUCUUCAUCACCGAAUCCCCAACGGUAAGAGGACCGGUAGGGGAUAUGAAGGAUGGGCGCCAUAUAUUGUCUGGAGAAGGCAUGGCAGCCUCUUCACCAAGGUUCAAGUUAAAACGACGGUCGGAAGGGCCAGACAUUUUCAAAGGUGUUGAAGAAAGAAGAGGUCGGACAAGUCAAGAUAUUAGAAGUGCAAGAAGGGAGUUUAUACAAGCGCAAAUUCAAGUGUGCUUUGAAAUGAAUUGCGUGCUUCCAUAAAAAUCAACACUCAACGGGAUUUCAGAUAUCGAAGAGGCGAGCUCAGAAUUCAAAGAGGCCAAUUCAAAAAUCGAAGAGGCGCUAGCUUUCUCAAAAGUUAGGCUUGCCCAAAAACCACGGGCCAUCCUCUGUUCUAGAUUUGUCCGCACUCGUCACAUGCAACCUCUGCACUCGACGGAGCUCAGAACUCGAAGAGGCAAGCUCAAAACUCGAAGAGGCAAGCUCAAAAAUCAGAGAGCCAUCUGCUUUUCCAGACGUGUUAGUAUCUCUCACAUGCAUGCUCAGCUUUGCGAAAAUCACAUGCAGUUUGUCGAAGCGCCGAUUCCAGAUAUCGAAGAGGCAUCUGCUUUAUCCAGACGUGUCAACAUCUGUCAUAUGCACGCUCAGCUUUACUGAAAUCACGAGCACUCUGUCGAAUAUUUCUGGUGAAGUAGAAAGCACGUGAAGUUUACUGUUCAAUCAUCCAACGGUUGCCGACAAGAGUGAAAAAAUAGUACCGGUUAUUAUUUCCUAUAAAUGUCGGCCUUCACCCUCCAUAGCAAGGCAGACAUACAUAACAUUCCGUCAUCUCCGAGAAUGUCUUCCCAACAAAGCCUCUCGAGUCACUCAGUGUUCCUUAUUCCUUGGGGUACCUUUGCAAACAACUAAUCCAAAGCAAAAGUAUUUCAUAUCAUGAAGGUUGAAAGCAAGAGUAUCUCAUAUCAUGCUUUCUCCCUGUCCUUCUCCUUGUCGUUGUUUUCAUUUGCAGGACAAGGAGAAAGAGAGCAAUCAGCCAGCACUUGGUAUCAAUCUUCCGAUCUGGAAUCGACUGCCUGGAACCCCUUCCUGAUUGCUUACCUAGCCCUGCUCUCGAGUACUCAUCUUCAACAUCUUAUGCUUCCUCUUCGUCUACCACAUCUGCCUGGGGAACAGAUAAGGGAAGUGAAAAUGAUACCUCGAAGCAUGUGGAGACAAGGUACUAAUUCAUCCUCAACUAGGGACAAGGAGAAAGAAAGCAAGAGGUGGGCACUUGGAAAGAUUGAAGAAAGAAAUAGACCAACACCUCUACCUCGUGCCUGCCCGCCGUGCAGAAGAAACAAGCAGAGAAAAAUGCAGACUGCACAACCAAAUCAACCCAGCAGAAGGAGUCUGAUUUGAAACCAAGGAACUCUCAUAUUCCUCGCUCAGAAUUCCAAACCAGUUCGAGAUCAAAGCUGUGGAAAGAUAACAAGAUCAUCUAUCUCCAAAACCAGAUUUGCGUUCUUAAACUCUACUCUGUCUAAUUUUUACUUUGCCAUACUUGUCAUGUUUAUUCGUUGUUUGUUUGUGUGAGUUUAUGCUUGAAACAUUGAAGACAAUGCUUGAUUUAAGUGUGGGGGGGGGGGGGUAACCAUUGUUUUGCAUGAAAUUCUUUGCAUGAAAUUCGUAGGAGUUUAUCACCCAUUACUUCUAGUGUUGUUCCUUGCUGUUUUAAGUGUUUUUAAGCUGUUUUGGAGUGUUUCAGUGUGUUUUGACAUAAAAAUCCGAAAAUCUCAUAAAAAUUUGAAAAAUUGUUUUGAAAAACCUAAAAAUAGUUGUUUUUGUAUAUUUAUUUGUGUCUUAGGGUACCUUCCAACACAAUGAUGAGGAUUUGAUUUACUCUUUGGUGUAUGCUUGGUUGUGGUUAUAAUUUAUGAAUUCACAUGCAAUCAUAAAGGAAAAAUCAGUUUUGUAACAUGCUUGAAAGAAGGAACUCAAAUGUACGCUACAACCUUGUGAGACUUGAGCCUAAACGUUUAUUUGGAGAGUUAAUAAUCUGUGCAUCAUUGUUUUCUAAAGUCGUUGCAUGAUCUCAUUAUUCUUUGCUUGGUUGCUACUUAGAAGGCAUUUCAUCAGUUAGUUCCAAAUGCUAGAACUCAUGCCUAUUUCAUUCAAAGCAUGUUAUUGAUUUGCAUAAUACAUAUUCAAGAUGAAGUUGUGUAGUGACCACCACAGCCAAAUUGUCGUGCCCUAUUUCAUUAUGUGUUUAAGUUUAACCCCAUUGAGCCUUGUGUAGCCUAUGUUCUUUGUUAACCCACAAUAUCCUCACCUAGCCUAGAUUAGGACCAUCCAUACCCUUGUUCUUGAAGCAUAGUAAAACAUAAUUUAGAAGGAAUUUCUUUUGUUGAACUUUUGAAAAAAACAAGUGUGGGGGAAGUGAUUCUUGUGUGUGUGUGUGUGCCAAAGUCCUUAAUAAGGCACGGGUAGAAAAGAAAAAGGAAAAAAAAAACAUUCGUGGAAAAUAGAAUGAAAAAAAGAAAAGUUGUGAAAAAGAGCCCUAAGUGUUGCAUGAAUCUUUCCUUUGUAUUUAAAAGUUGAUUCUGCAUUCUAAAGUGAAUUCCAAAGUGUCUAUUUCAUUGCUUUGUGAUCGGAUCAUAUUUACAUAUAUUUUUACUUCAAAUUCACUCGUCUUUUCUUAGUUAGUUUCUUAUAUUUUCGAGCUAUUUACGUUAUUUUCGUGUUUAUAGGAUUUGUUAUGCAAAGAAAAUAAAAAUGGCACAAAUUAGUUUUAAAUAGUAAACAGAAAAUUGUGGAACACGGGUGGACCACGAGAAAAAUAAUGGAGAGCAUAAAAAUAUAUAUAUAUAUAUAUAUAUAUAUAUAUAUAUAUAUAAUAUAUAUACAUUUAUAAUAUAUAGAUAUAUAUAUAUAAAUAUAAUAUAUAAAUAUAAUAUAUAUAUUUAUAUUUAUAAUGGGAUGUUGAAAUGGAAUAGGGUUGGUGAGCACUGACGGGGAGAAAAGCUGCUUAGUGCAGCGGAAAAGAAAAAUAAAUAAAACGCUGCCUGCGCAGCACAAAAGGGGGAAACCAAGAGCUCUGGCUGCUCUUGGCAGCGUGAUUUAGUGCAGACGGAAAGAGCUGCCUUUGGGCAGCGUGAGCUGGAGAUAGAGCGAAAAACAGAAAGCUGCUUUGCUGCUCGGGAAGGCUGCUUGGAGAGACAGAGGGCGCGCAGAAAUAGGCGGGAGAGAGAGGAAACAGAAACACAGAGAGACUGAGGAGGACAGAGAACAGAGAGCAGCUCGCAGGGGUUCAAAGGCACGGACAGAAAUACCCUUUCUCUCUCGGUUAAAAUCUUUCCAACUUAUGUUUUACUUUUGGUUUAAUUUGAUAAUAAUGUGUAACUAAAUUUAUUUUGGCUAGAGGUUAAUUCAAAACCAUGAAUAUAUUUGUAAUGUGAAUUGAUUACCUUCAGUUGUGAUUUAUAAGUUGUGAUUUAAUUUGCUUAACUGCUUGAUUGAUAACUUAUUUUUGUAUGUCGAUUAAGAAUGCAUGCUUAAUUUACAUGCAUGAAUUUGAUGCUAGAAUAUAAGUGAAUUUCACCUAAUCGUUAUGAACUUAUAUUCACAAGUAGUGAAGGUUGUUAUCCACAAUCGUGUUAAGUAAAUUCUUGGCAUAAGUUUCAUGCAAAUCAUAGUAACGAGUGCCUCGUCAAUGCUUAUGUUUUUCAUAGAACUUAAUGAUUCUUGCUUGUAUCUCUAUUAUGCAAUUCAUGUAGGGAACUUGUAGGGAAUGUUUUGGGUUGUCGUAUGCAAUCAUCCAACCCAAUAACUUGUGGAAAAACUGAGGGUUAAUUAGUGCAAUUCACGGUUAAUUUGGGGCGUUGAGAUUUACAAUUUAUUGAAAGAACAACUGAAAAUCAAUUUAGGUUGCAUAUGUGUCAUGUGUGGAGAAGAACCCUCUAGCUAGUCUGUCAUUUAUCAUUUUACCUUACUUUUAUGUUUUUGUCAAUUCUGUAAUUUAUUUAAGUUUAAUUUACUUCUCGUCAAAACCAAUCACCCCCAUUAUUAAAUUAUAUUAUUUAGUUAGUUUUCAUUGUUUUUAGUCUUUUAAUUCAAUUUCCGUCCAUUUCAAUUCCUAGUGUCUAUUUUGAUUGUUUUUAUUAUUUUGAGUCAUUUUAAGUGUGUUUCGAAUUAUUAGAGUUUUUAGCCUAGUUUUGUGUCCUUGAGUCUUGUUUAAUAUUUUUAACUUUGUUUUUUAUGUUUUUAAGAGGUUUUAGCAAGCCCUCCUAAUCCCCGGCCUAGAACGAUACCCUACUUAUACUUAUACUACAAUUGACAAAAAGAGGGUUUAAUUUGUGUGUCAAGUAAUUUUCGCAUCAAAUUUUGGCGCCGUUGCCGGGGAUUAGCAACUUUGCUAAUCCUUUUAUUUUUGUUUUUGCUUAUGUUUAUUUGUGUUUGUGUAUGUUACUUUUGAUAUUUGAUUUAUUUUUCUUUCUUUGAAUUGAGGUACAAAUGGAGCAAGACCUGGAUUCUACUAGCUUUCAAGAUCUAUUGGCACAGCUCACUGCUCAAUUAACUCAUAAUGCCGAACGGACCACAAUGCCAAGUGUCCCUACAUUUGAUGUGCCCUAUGGGCAAGGAUAUCAAGGUCCUCAAUUUUCUGCCAAUGAAGAUGUUUGGGGAUAUCAAGGUCAUAACCAAUCAAGGGGCAACAUGUUUUCCAAUGCUUACAAUUCUGAUUGGAGAGGUAAUUCAGAUUACAUGUGGGGAGAACCUCAACAAUUCCAACAAGGUGGAUAUUGGCAGCAAGAAGACGCGUUCUAUUCAAGACCUAUGCAGCCACCACAGCAUCCCCCACAACAAUUCCAAUCGAAUCAAAGUAUGCCCGUGGAUUAUAAUCAAAUGCUUGAAGAAUUAAUUUCUUCGGUACAGGGUUCACAAAAAGAAGAACAAUUGCCGCCAUCGGAAGAGUUCUAUCAGCGGCCAUAUGAACCGUCACAGCCACCACAACAUUCAACCCAAUUUAAUUCAGGUACAUCCUUGGUUAAUGAUACACUUAAUAAUUUACUCACCUCUUUGAAUCAGGGAGUAGAAAAUCAAAACCAGGAGAUGCAAGACCGAGUCAGAAGAGUGGACGAAUUGGAUAUGCAUGUUGGGCAGAUUAUGGAAUUCAUGGCACAGAUUCAAGAGCAAAGUGAUGUCUCCAAUUCAACCAUUGCAAAUUCAAAGGCAGAAGUUAAAAUCGAUGAAGCCAUCACUUUGGAAGGUGACAUGGAGGAUGAAGUUGUCCCAGAACCAUCCAAACACAGCCCGAACAGGGAUGAAUUACUGCUGCAAGCAGAAGAUGAGGAGGACGACCUGGGCAGUUUAGAAGAAUUCUUGCGGCAAACUCCGGAAGUCCAUAUGUCAUCCAACUCAGGUGAGGAAGUUCCCAUUUCAUUUCAUUCUAAUGAUAUUCCUAUUCUUGGUGCAACAAAGCAGGUCCUAGAUCGUGUUGAAUAUUUCAAAGGCCUUUGUUUCCCAAGAAAAAUGAUUCAAGAGAAUGAAGUGGUGGAAGCAUGUCAAGAAUACAUCCAAGGGGCUGUGCAUGAGACAAUCAAGCCCAAAGCCGUUGAGUUUUGAUGACCCGGGACAAGCCACAACCAUCAUAGUAAACCUGGCCAAGUUCAAAGUCCCGGAAAUGUUCAAAAAUGUGGUGUUUGUCAUUGAGUUUGUGCCGGAAAAAGAAAGUAAGCCAUCUUCUCCAAUUUUAAUUUUUAUUUAUACUAACAUUUUUCUGAUUUUGAUGAUUCAGGCACCCACUCGUGAAUUCAAACCAUUGCCGAAUCAUUUCAAGUAUCACCUCCCAUUAAAAGAUAAAUUCCAUGCUUUGGAGCCGAGGGGAGUUUAAAGGAAAGAUUCGUCCGGCUAAAGACGUUAAAUCAAGCGCUUCUUGGGAGGCAACCCAAGCAUUCAACGAAGGGAGACUUUGAAAUUGCUCAACAAAUCUUUUUCCGAUCAGAUUUGCAUUCCUAAACCCUUCUCUUUACUGCAUUUAUUUUACCUUGUUUAAGUUCAUUAACUGUUAGUUUACUUGCGUGUGAAUCUUGUUUAGGGUAGAUAAAGUCUCUUUACAUUAAUUUACAUAUAUAAAAAAAAAUAAUAAUAAUAAAAAAAAAAAAAAAAAAAGAUAAAAUUUAAAAUUAAUGAUAAAAAAAAAAAAAAAAAAAAAAAAAAAAAAAAAACAUAAAAGUACAAAUAUUUUACAAUGAUGUAAACUAAUAGUAUUCAUUGGUCGGGUAGUGCUUCAGUAGUCGGAGGGGCUUCAGCAGUCGGCGGGGCCACAGAAUGAGGAGGCGGCAGAGGUUGAUCAGUUGGAGCUUCACUACGCGGUGCCGCUCCAGAAGACGAAGGCAGAUGUUGUUGGAACAAACCCACAAACCUCCGAUGAUCAAGUAAAAUUUGACCAUCGGUGUCCUGCAUCUGGU